GCAAGUCGAGCGCGCCCUUCGGGGUGAGCGGCGGACGGGUGAGUAACGCGUGGGAAUAUGCCCUUCUCUAAGGAAUAGCCUCUGGAAACGGAGAGUAAUACCUUAUACGCCCUUUGGGGGAAAGAUUUAUCGGAGAAGGAUUAGCCCGCGUUAGAUUAGGUAGUUGGUGGGGUAAUGGCCUACCAAGUCUACGAUCAGUAGCUGGUUUUAGAGGAUGAUC
Molecule: ribosomal RNA, 220 nt
Filed under: uncultured bacterium
Lineage: Bacteria
Description: partial 16S ribosomal RNA
Rfam family: Bacterial small subunit ribosomal RNA
Source: RNAcentral